Molecule: ribosomal RNA, 226 nt
Filed under: uncultured Emticicia sp.
Lineage: Bacteria; Pseudomonadati; Bacteroidota; Cytophagia; Cytophagales; Leadbetterellaceae
Description: partial 16S ribosomal RNA
Rfam family: Bacterial small subunit ribosomal RNA
Source: RNAcentral
UGCGUAGGCGGGGAAUUAAGUCGAUGGUGAAAGGUAGCAGCUCAACUGUUUUACAUGCUGUCGAUACUGAUUUUCUUGAGUUAUUGGAAGGCAGAUAGAAUUUCUGGUGUAGCGGUGAAAUGCUUAGAUACCAGAAGGAAUACCGAUUGCGAAGGCAGUCUGCUGCAAAUAUACUGACGCUGAGGCACGAAAGUAUGGGGAUCAAACAGGAUUAGAUACCCGUGUA